Molecule: long non-coding RNA, 1308 nt
Filed under: Strigops habroptila (Kakapo)
Lineage: Eukaryota; Metazoa; Chordata; Aves; Psittaciformes; Psittacidae
Description: lncRNA (ENSSHBG00005003127.1)
Source: RNAcentral
GGGCCUGCCUGUCCCUGCCUGCCUGCCUGCUUUUGUCCUCUUUCUGUCCCAUUUUUAACUUCGGGAGAAAACUGUUGCAUUAGAGCCAGGAUUCUUUGGGUUUUACUGGCCUAAACUAAAAUGUUAGGAAAACACUCCCGUGUCACAAGGCUCUAGAGCCACAGCCAAAACCAUAACUGGUGCCCUAUUUAUUUUGAGCUGUCCCCUCCCUUGAGCGCCAGAGCUGGGUGGGCUCCGUUACUGGGCUGAGAGGACCCAAGGGGACGGUGUACAGCUGCUAGGACAUAGCUCACGCGCCCUACUCAGGACAUCUUACCCCACACUGCUGCUAAACACCGCUGACGUUGCUGCCAUUGGAGAGAGGGAGGAACAUUCCUUUUCCAGGCAAGGGCAGAAAAGCUCAAGACAGUGCCAGCAAGGGGCACUACGCUGGUGCUCCUGCCCACCAGUGCCACCCUUGAGCAGCUGGGGAGAGCGGCGCAGUCACAACUGACCUUCACCCAGCUUCAUCUGUGUAUGCUUUAAAAGCGUGCAGGGGUGGGCUGGUUGUUUUUUACACCUCCUUUACUAGAUGAAUUCAAACCCACCUGAAAACUUUUAAAACCCCUUAUUUUAUUUGUCAUGUGUGUGUGCGUGUGUGUACAUUGGAGGAGGGAAUGGGUUGGGGGCAGAGUUCUUCCAACCAUCCCUUCCUCCUUCCAUUUUUGUUUCCCACCUUCUCCAAGGUGAGGAGUUAUUUAUUGAAUUGUUGGAUCAGUCUGAAUUAGGGCUUCAUGGGUGCUUGGUUGGUCAGGUGGUUCAUCAUGCCUUCUCAUUUGCAAACCAGACAUAACAAGCCCCAAGCAAUCUGCUGCAGUCCCUUCUCAAAACCCAACAGGCUUUAGCCAAAAUGCUCUCAGAGCAGAGCAGUGCCUUGUGAGGUGGCUGCCGUAGCAUUCUGGAAAGGGAUCCUCGUUUCCCAAAGCCUGAGGGACCCCAGCCCCUCCUCAGUGCCAGCACAGCCCCCGUGGCUGGGAGGUGGCAAGCUCAGCCCUGCGCUGGUGAUGCCAUUUCACUCUUGCCAUACCCCAGCAGGCUGAUGAGGAACAGUGGGAGGGGAGAUCCCAAAGCACAACUCUUCUCCAAGGAGAAACAAAUCCACUUUAGAGCCUGCUGUCAGGUCACUGUUGCCAAAGGCCAUCGGGAUCGUGCAGCCUGACACCCCUUGGCCCUGCGCCCGGUCAGGGGAUCGAUUUGUGAAUUAUACUGUACUAACUCCGUGACUUCCAUUCACCUGAACAGAAAUAAAAGAAACAUUGGAUUGAAAAA